GUGAUUCAGUAAAACCAGUAAAUAAAUAGCACUGGGGUUUCUGGACUUAUCGUGCAUAUACAACAUAUUUCUGGACUUACCGAGCUAUUGUAAUAUGAAUGUAUAUUAGGACUGUAUUGAACCCUUCCAUGUUUCUGGACUCAUGAAAAUAAACUACAUGCGAUAUACUCAAAUAACACUCGGGUUUGGGACUAUUUUAUGGUGUUGUGGAUAUACUUUGUGAUUUAAAGUUACUAAUCUAUGGUCUGGUGUCAUAUCAUGGUCUAAUAUUUUUUUGUUUGACUCUUUCUCCAUUGCCAGGAAAGCGGUGAGUAGAUGUCGAUGAUGUCUACUUGCUUGGCUCCUAUGGUGAUGCAUGCACCGGUGAAGCACGCACACAUGCAAGGCUGGCCCCAUGUCUUCCUUGGCUGCGAACAUCAUCUACAGGUACAACAUUGUCCCACAUCUCUAUGCUGUUUUGCUCAUUCUUCUCCUUGCAUCUGAGAAAAUUGGUGCUUAAUCUGCUAUUGAUUACAGUCUUUGUUCGUUAAUACCAAGUCUAAAUUGUUCCUUUCAUUUUUCCUGUUACUCAGGCUAGCAGUAUGACCGGAUGCGAGGACCUGCUCACUGACCAGGACAAUCUAUGAGCUCCCAGCGCCUCUGAUACAAGGUGCGUUAGGGCCAACCUCUUCCGGAAGAAGGCCACACUCGUAGCCCCUCUGGAUCAAAAUUGGUAUCCUUCCUGCCUCUCCUUGUGGAUUCACAUGAUUUUGCCUCAUGGAUUGAUGGAUGUGUCUGUAAUUGUAAAGUCUGGUCCUCGUUUACUUUCUAUAAUUUAUUGCAUGCUUGAUGAGGCUAUGUCAAGUGUCUAAAUUUUGAAUGCAUGCUAGCUAAGGCAUUUCUGAGCACUUCGUGUUGAUUGGGCGUUUAGCUCCUGUAAUGUUCUUGAAGUUCAUUGUUAUAUACUUCUUGUUGUAGGAUGGUGUUGGAAAUAUGCCCUAGAGGCAAUAAUAAAAUGGUUAUUAUUAUAUUUCCUUGUUCAUGAUAAUUGUCUAUUGUUCAUGCUAUAAUUGUAUUAACUGGAAACCGUAAUACAUGUGUGAAUACAUAGACCACAACAUGUCCCUAGUAAGCCUCUAGUUGACUAGCUCGUUGAUCAAUAGAUGGUUAUGGUUUCCUGACCAUGGACAUUGGAUGUCAUUGAUAAUGGGAUCACAUCAUUAGGAGAAUGAUGUGAUGGACAAGACCCAAUCCUAAGCAUAGCACAAGAUCGUGUAGUUCGUUUGCUAGAGCUUUUCCAAAUGUCAAGUAUCAUUUCCUUAGACCAUGAGAUUGUGCAACUCCCGGAUACCAUAGGAGUGCUUUGGGUGUGCCAAACGUCACAACGUAACUGGGUGGCUAUAAAGGUGCACUACGGGUAUCUCCGAAAGUGUCUGUUGGGUUGGCACGAAUCGAGAUUGGGAUUUGUCACUCCGUAUGACGGAGAGGUAUCUCUGGGCCCACUUGGUAAUGCAUCAUCAUAAUGAGCUCAAUGUGACCAAGUGUUUGGUCACGGGAUCAUGCAUUAUGGUACGAGUAAAGUGACUUGCCGGUAACGAGAUUGAACAAGGUAUUGGGGUACCGACGAUCGAAUCUCGGGCAAGUAACGUACCGAUUGACAAAGGGAAUUGUAUACGGGAUUGAUUAAAUCCUCGACAUCGUGGUUCAUCCGAUGAGAUCAUCGCGGAACAUGUGGGAGCCAACAUGGGUAUCCAGAUCCCGCUGUUGGUUAUUGACUGGAGAGUCGUCUCGGUCAUCUCUGCAUGUCUCCCGAACCCGUAGGGUCUACACACUUAAGGUUCGGUGAUGCUAGAGUUGUAGAGAUAUUAGUAUGCGGUUAACCGAAAGUUGUUCGGAGUCCAGAAUGAGAUCCCGGACGUCACGAGGAGUUCCGGAGGUAAAGAUUUAUAUAUGGGGGGCCCACCUGCAUGGGGGACCCACAUGAACAUGGGUAGUGGGGGCAAGGCCCCACACCCCUGGUCAAGGCGCACCAAGAUCCCACCUUAGAAGGAAUAAGAUCAUACCCCGAAGGGAUAAGAUCAAGAUCCCUAAAAAAGGGGGAUAACAAUCGGUGGGGAAGGGAAAUGAUGGGAUUUCUUUCCCCCACCUUUGCCAACGCUCCAAUGGACUUGGAGGGCAAGAAACCAGCCCCCUCCACCCCUAUAUAUAGUGGGGAGGUGCAUGGGAGUAGCACCCCAAGCCCUGGCGCCUCCCUCCCUCCCGUGGCACCUCUUCCUCCCCGCAUGCGCUUGGCGAAGCCCUGCCGGAUCCCACUACUUCCACCACCACGCCGUCGUGCUGCUGGAUCUCCAUCAACUUCUCCUCCCCCCUUGCUGGAUCAAGAAGGAGGAGACAUCCCCGCUCCGUACGUGUGCUGAAUGCGGAGGUGCCGUCCGUUCGGCGCUAGGAUCAUCGGUGAUUUGGAUCACGACGAGUACGACUCCAUCAACCCCGUUCUCUUGAACGCUUCCGCUCGUGAUCUACAAGGGUAUCUAGAUGCACUCCUCCCCUCUCGUUGCUAGCAUCUCCUAGAUUGAUCUUGGUGACACGUAGGAAAAUUUUGAAUUUCUGCUACGUUCCCCAACAGUGGUAUCAGAGCCAGGUUUAUGCGUAGAUUCUAUGCACGAGUAGAACAGAAAGUAGUUAUGGGCGACGAUUUGUUCAAUUUGCUUACUGUUACUAGUCUUAUCUUCAUUCGGCGGCAUUGUGGGAUGAAGCGGCCCGGACCGACCUUACACGUACUCUUACGUGAGACAGGUUCCACCAACUGACAUGCACUUGAUGCAUAAGGUGGCUAGCGGGUGUUUGUCUCUCCCACUUUAGUCGGAUCGGAUUCGAUGAAAAGGGUCCUUAUGAAGGGUAAAUAGCAAUUGGCAUAUCACCGUUGUGGCUUUUGCGUAGGUAAGAAACAUUCUUGCUAGAAACCCAUAGCAGCCACGUAAAACAUGCAACAACAAUUAGAGGACGUCUAACUUGUUUUUGCAGGGUAUGGUAUGUGAUGUGAUAUGGCCAAAAGGAUGUGAUGAAUGAUAUAUGUGAUGUAUGAGAUUGAUCAUGUUCUUGUAAUAGGAAUCACGACUUUCAUGUCGAUGAGUAUGACAACCGGCAGGAGCCAUAGGAGUUGUCUUAAUUUAUUGUGUGACCUGCGUGUCAAUGAAAACGCCAUGUAAUUACUUUACUUCAUUGCUAACCGUUAGCCAUAGUAGUAGAAGUAAUAGUUGGCGAGACAACUUCAUGAAGACACGAUGAUGGAGAUCAUGGUGUCAUGCCGGUGACGAAGGUGAUCAUGCCAUGCCUCGAAGAUGGAGAUCAAAAGGCGCAAGAUGAUAUUGGCCAUAUCAUGUCACUUUAUGAUUUGCAUGUGAUGUCUGUCAUGUUUACAUCUUAUUUGCUUAGAACGACGGUAGCAUAAAUAAGAUGAUCCCUCACUAAAAUUUCAAGAAAUGUGUUCCCCCUAACUGUGCACCGUUGCGAAGGUUCGUCGUUUCGAAGCACCACGUGAUGAUCGGGUGUGAUAGAUUCUAACGUUCGCAUACAAUGGGUGUUGACGAGCCUAGCAUGUACAGACAUGGCCUCGGAACACAUGCGAAACACUUAGGUUGACUUGACGAGCCUAGCAUGUACAGACAUGGCCUCGGUACACAAGAGAUCGAAAGGUCGAACAUGAGUCGUAUAGUAGAAACGAUCAACAUGGAGAUGUUCACCGAUGAUGACUAGUCCGUCUCACGUGAUGAUCGGACACGACCUAGUCGAUUCGGAUCAUGUAUCACUUAGAUGACUAGAGGGAUGUCUAUCUAAGUGGGAGUUCAUUAAAUAAUCAGAUGAACUUAAUUAUCAUGAACAUAGUCAAAAGGUCUUUGCAAAUAAUGUUGUAGCUUAUGCUUUAGUUCUACUAAGAUAUGUUCCUAGAGAAAAUUUAGUUGAAAGUUGAUAGUAGCAAUUAUGCGGUCUGGGUCCGUAAACUGAGGAUUGUCCUCAUUGCUGCACAGAAGGCUUAUGUCCUUAAUGCACCGCUCGGUGUGCUGAACCUCGAGCGUCGUCUGUAGAUGUUACGAAACAUCUGACAUACACGUUUUGAUGAGUACGUGAUAGUUCAGUGUGUGAUGCUAACGGUUUAAAAUUGUGGCACCAAAGACGGUUUUGAAACGUCGCAGAACAUAUGAGAUGUUCCAAAGACUGAAAUUGGGAUUUCAGACUAAUGCCCACGUCAAGAGGUAUGAGACCUCUGACAAGUUUCUUAAGCCUGCAAACUAAGGGAGAAACGCUCAAUCGUUGAGCAUGUGCUCAGAUUGUCUGAGUACCACAAUCACUUGAAUCGAGUGGGAGUUAAUCCUCCAGAUGAGAUAGUGAUGGUUCUCCAUAGUCACUGCCACCAAGCUAUUAGAGCUUCGUGAUGAACUAGAACAUAUCAGGGAUAGACAUGAUGAUCCUUGAGCAACUCGCGAUGUUUGACACCGCGAAAGUAGAAAUCAAGAAGGAGCAUCAAUUGUUGAUGGUUAGUAAAACCACUAGUUUCUAGAAGGGCAAGGGCAAGAAGGGAUACUUCAUGAAACGGCAAAUCAGUUGCUGCUCUAGUGAAGAAACCCAAGGUUGAACCCAAACCCGAGACUAAGUGCUUCUGAAAUGAGGGGAACGGUCACUGAAGCAGAACUACCCUAGAUACUUCGUAGAUGAGAAGGCUGGCAAGGUCGACAGAAGUAUAUUGGAUAUACAUUAUAUUAAUGUGUACUUUACUAGUACUCCUAGUAGCACCAGGGUAUUAGAUACCGGUUCGGUUGCUAAGUGUUAGUAACUCGAAAUAAAAGCCGCGGAUUAAACGGAGACUAGCUAAAGGUGAGAUGACGAUAUGUGUUGGAAGUGUUUCCAAGGUUGAUGUGAUCAAGCAUCGCAUGCUCCCUCUACCAUCGAGAUUGGGGUUAAACCUGAAUAAUAAUUAUUUGGUGUUUGCGUUGAGCAUAGACAUGAUUGGAUUAUGUUUAUCGCAAUACGGUUAUUCAUUAAAGGAGAAUAAUGGUUACUCUGUCUAUUUGAAUAAUACCUUCAAUGGUCUUGCACCUAAAAUGAAUGGUUUAUUGAAUCGCGAUCGUAGUGAUACACAUGUUCAUGCCAAAAGAUAUAAGAUAAUAAUGAUAGUAACACAUACUUGUGGCACUACCACUUGAGUCAUAUUGGUAUAAAAUGCAUGAAGAAGCUCCAUGUUGAUGGAUCUUUGGACUCACUCGUUUUUGAAAAGAUUGAGACAUGCGAACCAUGUCUAUUAGUAUAUAUGCAUGAAGAAAGUCCAUACAGAUGGAUCGUUUGGACUCACUUGAUUUUGAAUCACUUGAGACAUGCAAAUCAUACCACAUGGGCAAGAUGACUGAAAGGCCUCGUUUUCAGUAAGAUGAAACAAGAAAGCAACUUGUUGGAAGUAAUACAUUUUGAUGUGUGCAGUCCAAUGAGUGCUGAGGCAUGCAGUGGAUAUCGUUAUGUUCUUGCUUCGCAGAUGAUUUGAGUAGAUGCUGAGUAUAUUUACUUGAUGAAACACAAGUCUGAAUUAUUGAAAGGUUCAAGUAAUUCAGAGUGAAGUUCAAGAUCGUCGUGACAAGAGGAUAAAAUGUCUGUGAUAUGAUCAUAGAGAUGAAUAUCUGAGUUACGAGUUUGGCACACAAUUAAGAAAUUGUGGAAAUUGUUUCACAACUAAUACCGCCUGGAACACCAUAGUGUGAUGGUGUGUCCGAACAUCAUAACUGCACCCUAUUGGAUAUGGUGCAUACCAUGAUGUCUCUUAUCGAAUUACACUAUCGUUUAUGGGUUAGGCAUUAGAGACAACCGCAUUCACUUUAAAUAGGGCACCACGCAAUUGCGUUGAGACGACACCGUAUGAACUAUGGUUUAGAGAAACCUAAGCUGUCGUUUCUUAAAAGUUUGGGGCUGCGACGCUUAUGUGAAAAAGUUUCAGGCUGAUAAGCUCGAACCCAAAGUGGAUAAAUGCAUCUUCAUAGAAUACCCAAAACAGUUGGGUAUACCUCCUAUUUCAGAUCUGGAAGCAAAAGUGAUUGUUUCUAGAAACGGGUCCUUUCUCGAGGAAAAGUUUCUCUCGAAAGAAUUGAGUGGGAGGAUGGUGGAGACUUAAUGAGGUCAUUGAACCAUCACUUCAACUAAUGUGUAGCAGGGCACAGGAAGUUGUUCCUGUGGCACCUAGACCAAUUGAAGUGGAAGCUUAUGAUAGUGAUCAUGAAACUUCAGAUCAAGUCACUACCAAACCUCAUAGGAUGACAAGGAUGCAUACUACUUCAGAGUGGUACGUAAUCCUGUCUUGGAAGUCAUGUUGUUGGACAAAGAUGAACCUAUGAGCUGUGGAGAAGCGAUGGUGGGCCUGGAUUCCGAUGAAUGGCUCGAGGCCAUAAACUCCGAGAGAGGAUCAGUGUAUAAAAACAAAGUGUAGACUUUGAAAGAACUACUUGAUGGUCGUAAGGCUGUUGGGUAUAGAUUAAUUUUAAAGGGAAGACAUACAAUGAUGGUAAGUGUCACCAUUAAGAAAGCUCGACUUGUCGUUAAGAUGUUUUCCGGCAAGUUCAAGGAGUUGACUGCGAUGAGACUUUCUCACUCGUAGCGAUGCUAAGAGUCUGUUAAAAUUAUAUUAGCAGUUACUGCAUUAUUUAUGAAAUCUUGCAGAUAGGAUGUCAAAACAUUGUUUCCUCGAUGAUUUUCUUGAGGAAAGGUUGUAUGUGAUACAACCAGAAGGUUUUGUCAAUCCUGAAAGAUGCUAACAAGUAUGCAAAGCUCCAGCAAUCCUUCUAAGGAUUGGAGUAAGCAUCUCGGAGUUGGAAUGAACGCUUUGAUGAGAUGAUCAAAGAUUUUGGGUUUAUACAAAGUUCAUGAGAAACUUGUAUUUCCAAAGAAGUGAGUGGGAGCACUAUAGAAUUUUUGAUGAGUAUAUGUUGUUAACAUAUUGUUGAUCAGAAAUGAUGUAGAAUUUCUGGAAAGCAUCCAGGGUUAUUUGAAAAGUGUUUUUUAGUGGAAAACCUGCAUUAAGCUACUUGAACAUUGAGCAUCAAGAUCUAUAAGGAUAGAUAAAAAAACGCUUAAUAGUACUUUCAAAUGAAUACAUACCGUGACAAGAUUUUGAAGGAGUUCAAAAUAGAUCAGCAAAGAAGGAGUUCUUGGCUGUGUUACAAGGUGUGAGUAUUGAGUAAGACUCAAGACCUGACCACGGCAGAAGAGAGAGAAAGGACGAAGGUCGUCCCCUAUGCUUUAGACGUAGGCUCUACAAUAUGCUAUGCUGUGUACCGCACCUGAAGUGUGCCUUGCCAUGAGUUAGUCAAGGGGUACAAUAGUGAUCCAGGAAGGGAUCACAUGACAGCGGUCGAACUUAUCCUUAGUAUCUAGUGGACUAAGGAAUUUUCUCGAUUAUGGAGGUGGAAAAAGGAGUUCGUCGUAAAGGGUUACGUCGAUGCAAACUUUGACACUAAUCCGGAUGACUCUGAGUAGUAAACCGGAUUCGUAUAGUAGAGCAGUUAUUUGGAAUAGUUCCAAGUGGCGCGUGGUAGCUACAUCUACAAGAUGACAUAGAGAUUUGUAAAGCACACACAGAUCUGAAUGUUGCAGACCCGUUGACUAAAACAUCUCUCGUAAGCAUAACAUGAUCAAACUCUAGAACUCAUUGAGUGUUAAUCACAUGGUGAUGUGAACUAGAUUAUUGACUCUAGUAAACUCUUGGGUAUUAGUCACAUGGCGAUGUGAACUUUGAGUGUUAAUCACAUGGUGAUGUGAACUAGAUUAUUGACUCUAGUGCAAGUGGGAGACUGUUGGAAAUAUACCCUAGAGGUAAUAAUAAAAUGGUUAUUAUUAUAUUUCCUUGUUCAUGAUAAUUGUCUAUUGUUCAUGCUAUAAUUGUAUUAACUGGAAACCGUAAUACAUGUGUGAAUACAUAGACCACAACAUGUCCCUAGUAAGCCUCUAGUUGACUAGCUCGUUGAUCAAUAGAUGGUUAUGGUUUCCUGACCAUGGACAUUGGAUGUCAUUGAUAACGGGAUCACAUCAUUAGGAGAAUGAUGUGAUGGACAAGACCCAAUCCUAAGCAUAGCACAAGAUCGUGUAGUUCGUUUGCUAGAGCUUUUCCAAAUGUCAAGUUUCAUUUCCUUAGACCAUGAGAUUGUGCAACUCCCGGAUACCAUAGGAGUGCUUUGGGUGUGCCAAACGUCACAACGUAACUGGGUGGCUAUAAAGGUGCACUACGGGUAUCUCCGAAAGUGUCUGUUGGGUUGGCACGAAUCGAGACUGGGAUUUGUCACUCCGUAUGACGGAGAGGUAUCUCUGGGCCCACUCGGUAAUGCAUCAUCAUAAUGAGCUCAAUGUGACCAAGUGUUUGGUCACGGGAUCAUGCAUUACGGUACGAGUAAAGUGACUUGCCGGUAACGAGAUUGAACAAGGUAUUGGGAUACCGACGAUCGAAUCUCGGGCAAGUAACGUACCGAUUGACAAAGGGAAUUGUAUACGGGAUUGAUUAAAUCCUCGACAUCGUGGUUCAUCCGCUGAGAUCAUCGUGGAACAUGUGGGACCCAACAUGGGUAUCCAGAUCCCGCUGUUGGUUAUUGACCGGAGAGUCGUCUCGGUCAUGUUUGCAUGUCUCCCGAACCCGUAGGGUCUACACACUUAAGGUUCGGUGACGCUAGAGUUGUAGAGAUAUUAGUAUGCGGUUAACCGAAAGUUGUUCGGAGUCCCGGAUGAGAUCCCAGACAUCACGAGGAGUUCCAGAAUGGUCAGGAGGUAAAGAUUUAUAUAUGGGAAGUCCUAUUUUGGCCACCGGAAAAUGUUCGGGAUUUUUCGGUAUUGUACCGGGAAGGUUCUAGAAGGUUCCGAAGUGGGGCCCACCUGCAUGGGGGGACCCACAUGAACGUGGGUAGUGGGGGCAAGGCCCCACACCCCUGGUCAAGGCGCACCAAGAUCCCACCUUAGAAGGAAUAAGAUCAUAUCCCGAAGGGAUAAGAUCAAGAUCCCUAAAAAAGGGGGAUAACAAUCGGUGGGGAAGGGAAAUGAUGGGAUUUCUUUCCCCCACCUUUGCCAACGCUCCAAUGGACUUGAAGGGCAAAAAACCAGCCCCCUCCACCCCUAUAUAUAGUGGGGAGGCGCAUGGGAGCAACACCCCAAGCCCUGGCGCCUCCCUCCCGUGACACCUCUUCCUCCCCGCAUGCGCUUGGCGAAGCCCUGUCGGGAUCCCACUACUUCCACCACCACGCCGUCGUGCUGUUGGAUCUCCAUCAACUUCUCCUCCCCCUUGCUGGAUCAAGAAGGAGGAGACGUCCCCGCUCCGUACGUGUGUUGAACGCGGAGGUGCCGUCCGUUCGGCGCUAGGAUCAUCGGUGAUUUGGAUCACGACGAGUACGACUCCAUCAACCCCGUUCUCUUGAACGCUUCCGCUCGUGAUCUACAAGGGUAUGUAGAUGCACUCCUACCCUCUCGUUGCUAGCAUCUCCUAGAUUGAUCUUGGUGACACGUAGGAAAAUUUUGAAUUUCUGCUACGUUCCCCAACAGAUGGCAAGUUGUCGCAGCUGGAGCAAGUCUCACAAGAGAGAGCAAUGAAGUCCAUUGUACUCUCCUGUUAUAUACUUCUUGUUGUAGGAUGGCAAGUUGUAGGAUGUGCCAUAAUUGUCUUAUUGCAUAUUCCCUCUGUUCCUUCUAUAUUCCUGUGUAAGGAAAUGUAUUUCCUGAGAUGAUUUGUUAUGUAAACCUGAUGUGAUGCGAUGGAUGAUUUGAA
Molecule: long non-coding RNA, 9757 nt
Filed under: Triticum aestivum (bread wheat)
Lineage: Eukaryota; Viridiplantae; Streptophyta; Magnoliopsida; Poales; Poaceae
Description: long non-coding RNA (TAES_LNC008335)
Source: RNAcentral